This 468-nucleotide ribosomal RNA is filed under the name uncultured bacterium. RNAcentral describes it as "partial 16S ribosomal RNA". It matches the Rfam family "Bacterial small subunit ribosomal RNA", at positions 28 to 507 of the family's 1533-position model. The record is from RNAcentral.
GACGAACGCUGGCGGCGUGCUUAACACAUGCAAGUCGAACGGAAAGGCCCUGCUUUUGUGGGGUGCUCGAGUGGCGAACGGGUGAGUAACACGUGAGUAACCUGCCCUUGACUUUGGGAUAACUUCAGGAAACUGGGGCUAAUACCGGAUAGGAGCUCCUGCUGCAUGGUGGGGGUUGGAAAGUUUCGGCGGUUGGGGAUGGACUCGCGGCUUAUCAGCUUGUUGGUGGGGUAGUGGCUUACCAAGGCUUUGACGGGUAGCCGGCCUGGGAGGGGGACCGGCCACAUUGGGACUGCGAUAGGGCCCAGACGCGUACGGUGGGCAGCAGUGGGGAAUAUUGCACAGUGGGCGGAAGUCGGAUGCGGAAACGCCGCGUGCGGGAUGACGGCCUUCGGGUUGUAAACCGCUUUCGCCUGUGACGAAGCGUUAGUGACGGUAAUGGGUAAAGAAGCACCGGCUAACUACGUG